Staphylococcus sp. HMSC078E07 is the source of this 103-nucleotide non-coding RNA. The record is from Rfam. Lineage: Bacteria; Bacillati; Bacillota; Bacilli; Caryophanales; Staphylococcaceae.
AAUUAUUUAAAAAAAGUGUUGACAUUACAGUGACUUAAAUGAUAUAUUAAUUAAGUACUCAUUUGAAGUGCUAAUAAUAUUGGCGCGGGAUGGAGCAGUUCGG